CUCGUAGGCGGCCAACUAAGUCAGACGUGAAAUCCCUCGGCUUAACCGGGGAACUGCGUCUGAUACUGGAUGGCUUGAGGUUGGGAGAGGGAUGCGGAAUUCCAGGUGUAGCGGUGAAAUGCGUAGAUAUCUGGAGGAACACCGGUGGCGAAGGCGGCAUCCUGGACCAAUUCUGACGCUGAGUGAGCGAAAGCCAGGGGAGCAAACG
RNAcentral lists this ribosomal RNA (208 nucleotides) under uncultured bacterium. Its description in RNAcentral is "partial 16S ribosomal RNA". It matches the Rfam family "Bacterial small subunit ribosomal RNA", at positions 568 to 774 of the family's 1533-position model. The record is from RNAcentral.